This 1725-nucleotide long non-coding RNA is filed under the name Locusta migratoria (migratory locust). Its description in RNAcentral is "MC56592A". Lineage: Eukaryota; Metazoa; Arthropoda; Insecta; Orthoptera; Acrididae. The record is from RNAcentral.
GGUAAGCAGCACAUUUUGUACAUUAUUUUUAAAGCUCUGAAUAACUUCAUCAAAAUCUACUGAAGGUUUCACACUCAAUACCUAAGUUCCAAAUACAUAUGGAAAGAUGUCACUAAACAUCCACUCUGGCCCAUUCAUUCAGACUCAUGUCUAAAUUUAUUCACAUUACCUAAAAUUACUUAUCUUCAGUUAAUUUAUUGGUGAUGUAUUUUCAAGUGGCUAGUCCACAUAUCUGUGUAUCAAGGUUGUAAAUUAUUAGUUACAGUACCAGGAACUACCAGAUUAUCAGUAGUUCAUUGAAUAGGAGUCCCACAAGAAUUGUUGUCACCAUAUGCAAGCCUAAUCCUGUGAUAAUGUUAGCAUAGUGGGACUAUAAUGUUCAUCUCAAUAUGAUGUGUUGCGUUUGUUGGCAGACUGCACGGGUUUCACACUGAGACCAGUAGCUGGUCUGCUGUCAUCACGGGACUUCCUGGCAGGGUUGGCUUUCCGUGUCUUCCAUUCAACACAAUAUAUCCGACAUGCCAGCUGCCCACUAUACACCCCAGAACCUGAUGUCUGCCAUGAGCUGCUAGGCCACGCACCACUCUUUGCUGACCCUGCAUUUGCACAGUUCUCACAGGAGAUUGGUCUAGCCUCCCUUGGUGCACCAGAUGAUUACAUCGAGAAGCUUGCAACAGUGAGUAUUGUAGCUAUCUAUAGGCUCCAAGUAGUAUUGCACAUUUGCUGACUAGGCUUUUAAUGAAAAAGUCACCGGCUAGAAGUAAAGUUACUAUAGUCUCUAUAUUCUAUAAGUCCUUUCAGUAUUGUCAUUAUCAAACAACUAUACAAAAAGAUUUAAAAAAAUACAUAGCCAUGUAUACAAUAUUUAAAAAGAGUACAUUUGUGCUCACUGUAAAGACAACACUCUGAGCAGCAUAGAGGCACAAUAAGAUCAUCCUAACGAAUGUUUGGCCAGUCUUAAUGAGAAAAACAAGAUAAACAAACACAUAAAUUCAUACAGUCAUAUACAUACAACUCAUGUGCAUGCAAAUGCAUUGCAUGCACGCCUUUUCUAAUGAAGGCCUGGCUGAAAGCUCAUUUGAACUUUUUGCCUGCCUGCUUCUUGUCAUGUCAUCUUAACGGUGAGUAACAAUACAUAAUUUCCACAGUAUUGUAGAUGUACCAACCUGGACUUAUAUAAUUGUUUGAUUUAACCAUAAGUAAUGCAAUGAAAUUAGGUUACAAAGGACUACCUGUCAUUUGCAACAUCCAGGUUUCUAAUAGAUAAACAUAAAUGGGAGUCAAAUGAAAACACAGUGACUGCUUUGCACCUAGACAUACAUCUCAAUAUUCUUGAGGAAAUUGUAAACAUUAUACUGACAAUUCAUACAAUACUCUAAUUGACAGAUUGGUUCAACCAUAAGUGACAUACUGGAUAUGUGGUUUCCACCUCUCUCAUGGGACACUUGACAACUACAUGAAAAAGCAAACUUUAUAAGUCACAUUUGUACAAUUUAACUUUUAGACCCAGAUUUCAUAAGAAAUGAAUGCUUACACAUUCAUAAAAUCACAGUGGCACUACUCACAUACAUGACUACCAUCUCCAGUAUAUAUAUAUUGUGAGUCAGGAUGGUGGCCAGAGAAGGCAGACAUGUAUGGAUGAGUUGUUCCUGUAUGAUUGUAUUCAUGUGACGUAUGUUCUUUCCUGAUGAAGGCUAUGCCCAAAAAAAAAAAAAAAAAAAAAAA